This 242-nucleotide ribosomal RNA is filed under the name Cylindrotheca closterium. RNAcentral's name for it is "partial ribosomal RNA large subunit". It matches the Rfam family "Eukaryotic large subunit ribosomal RNA", at positions 125 to 364 of the family's 3401-position model. The record is from RNAcentral. Lineage: Eukaryota; Bacillariophyta; Bacillariophyceae; Bacillariales; Bacillariaceae.
UGCCUUGUGCGCGCCGAAUUGUGGUCUGUAGACUGUGACAUUCGCCUCUGUCCCGGGCCCAAGUCCCUUGGAAAAGGGHAGCMGAGAGGGUGAGACUCCGUCCGUCAUGGCAGAGCGCAGUCGCUAGUACAAAUAUACAGAGUCGAGUUGUUUGGGAUUGCAGCUYUCAGUGGGUGGUAAAUUCCAUCUAAAGCUAAAUAUUGGUGGGAGACCGAUGGCGUACAAGUACCGUGAGGGAAAGA